AAGGUUGAAAAUGUCGUUUCCUACAAUAUGUCAAUGUUUCUUGAAAAAUAUUCAUCAAAAGCCACUAGGGUUGCGAGCUUUUAACGAUUUCAUAGUAUUUAGGUGAAGGAGACAUCUUCCUUUAUAAUAGGUUUCGUGAGAUAAUUUAUGCCAUCAUCAUUAAUCUAUAUACUAUGAGUGAUAGGAAAAGCCAUCUUAUGUGUGUGAGAGAUGCAAAAGAGAUCUUCGAAGAAUUUUUUGGCUUCUUGUUGGAUUAACGUGUUUUUCGAAGUCCAAGUG
This 279-nucleotide long non-coding RNA is filed under the name Lathyrus oleraceus (garden pea). RNAcentral's name for it is "Pisum sativum (pea) long non-coding RNA (PSAT_LNC027455)". Lineage: Eukaryota; Viridiplantae; Streptophyta; Magnoliopsida; Fabales; Fabaceae. The record is from RNAcentral.